This is a long non-coding RNA of Chelonoidis abingdonii (Abingdon island giant tortoise), 631 nucleotides long. RefSeq lists it as uncharacterized. Lineage: Eukaryota; Metazoa; Chordata; Testudines; Testudinidae. The record is from RefSeq and is a predicted model, not a curated record.
ACUGUCUCAAGUAGUUUUGUAUCAUCUGCAAACUUUGCCACCUCACUGUUUACACUUUUUCUAGAUCAUGUAUGGAUAUGUCAAACAGCACUGGUUCCAGUACAGAUCCUUGGGGAAUGCUACUAUUUACCUCUCCACUGCAAAAACUGUUUAUUCCUCCUCUUUGUUUCCUGCUAUUUUUGUUACCAGUUACCGGUCCAGGAUUGGAUCUUCCGUCUUAUCCCAUGACAGCUUACUUUGCUUAUGAACCUUUGAAACCACCAUCCAACAGGUUCAGACAGGAAGUGAAGAAAUAUCCUGUAUCACUGGAAACUGGCAGGGGGAAUUGAGGGAGGCAGAAGGUAAUGACCCGAGAUAAAGGGUCUAGCAGUAACCAUCCAUCAGGAUACUGGGGUGACAGAACCGCUGCAACCUCACCUCACCACCUAGGAUGAGGCCAUAAGAAGCUUGCACCAAGAGCUGACCUGACUCUCCUGUCAUGGUGACAGAGGACUCCCUGGAGUCAGCAAGGACUGCAGCCAAGGGGGCCCCCUGGGGCCCUGAAAGCUUUUGUCUGUUACAAUGCCUGUGCUGAUCCAUUUCUCCCCCUUCCACAUGGAAAUCAAUACAGCCAGCCAGCCGGCAUCUGCCA